AGCUUGCUACCUGACCUAGCGGCGGACGGGUGAGUAAUGCUUAGGAAUCUGCCUAUUAGUGGGGGACAACAUUCCGAAAGGAAUGCUAAUACCGCAUACGCCCUACGGGGGAAAGCAGGGGAUCUUCGGACCUUGCGCUAAUAGAUGAGCCUAAGUCAGAUUAGCUAGUUGGUGGGGUAAAGGCCUACCAAGGCGACGAUCUGUAGCGGGUCUGAGAGGAUGAUCCGCCACACUGGGACUGAGACACGGCCCAGACUCCUACGGGAGGCAGCAGUGGGGAAUAUUGGACAAUGGGCGAAAGCCUGAUCCGGCCAUGCCGCGUGUGUGAAGAAGGCCUUUUGGUUGUAAAGCACUUUAAGCGAGGAGGAGGCUACUUGGAUUAAUACUCUAGGAUAGUGGACGUUACUCGCAGAAUAAGCACCGGCUAACUCUGUGCCAGCAGCCGCGGUAAUACAGAGGGUGCGAGCGUUAAUCGGAUUUACUGGGCGUAAAGCGUGCGUAGGCGGCUUUUUAAGUCGGAUGUGAAAUCCCUGAGCUUAACUUAGGAAUUGCAUUCGAUACUGGGAAGCUAGAGUAUGGGAGAGGAUGGUAGAAUUCCAGGUGUAGCGGUGAAAUGCGUAGAGAUCUGGAGGAAUACCGAUGGCGAAGGCAGCCAUCUGGCCUAAUACUGACGCUGAGGUACGAAAGCAUGGGGAGCAAACAGGAUUAGAUACCCUGGUAGUCCAUGCCGUAAACGAUGUCUACUAGCCGUUGGGGCCUUUGAGGCUUUAGUGGCGCAGCUAACGCGAUAAGUAGACCGCCUGGGGAGUACGGUCGCAAGACUAAAACUCAAAUGAAUUGACGGGGGCCCGCACAAGCGGUGGAGCAUGUGGUUUAAUUCGAUGCAACGCGAAGAACCUUACCUGGUCUUGACAUAGUAAGAACUUUCCAGAGAUGGAUUGGUGCCUUCGGGAACUUACAUACAGGUGCUGCAUGGCUGUCGUCAGCUCGUGUCGUGAGAUGUUGGGUUAAGUCCCGCAACGAGCGCAACCCUUUUCCUUAUUUGCCAGCGGGUUAAGCCGGGAACUUUAAGGAUACUGCCAGUGACAAACUGGAGGAAGGCGGGGACGACGUCAAGUCAUCAUGGCCCUUACGACCAGGGCUACACACGUGCUACAAUGGUCGGUACAAAGGGUUGCUACCUAGCGAUAGGAUGCUAAUCUCAAAAAGCCGAUCGUAGUCCGGAUUGGAGUCUGCAACUC
Molecule: ribosomal RNA, 1241 nt
Filed under: uncultured Acinetobacter sp.
Lineage: Bacteria; Pseudomonadati; Pseudomonadota; Gammaproteobacteria; Moraxellales; Moraxellaceae
Description: bacterial SSU rRNA
Rfam family: Bacterial small subunit ribosomal RNA
Source: RNAcentral